This is a long non-coding RNA of Vitis vinifera (wine grape), 563 nucleotides long. RefSeq lists it as uncharacterized. The record is from RefSeq and is a predicted model, not a curated record. Lineage: Eukaryota; Viridiplantae; Streptophyta; Magnoliopsida; Vitales; Vitaceae. The transcript is spliced from 2 exons.
CACGGACAUAACGUCCAAACCCGCUCAAAGACCCAAACCCACAUAACUCUAGAACUGGUUAAAAGAAUUUUAUAAAGCACAAUGAUCGCACUUUUUUACUUUCUGGGAUUGGUGUUGAUGCUUCCAAAUAGUUUCCGAGAUGUUCCCAUUGAGUUUGGAGAAGAGAGAAGUGGAUUCCUUGAGCUUCUCAAACAUUUUCUUGGAAAUUGUCAAACGCCUGGUCUCUUCAUCUAACCCGUAUGAUUCAAACACACCCAUGAAGACUUUUCUUCAUACGACGUCACAUUUCAAACUCCAGCAAACGAGUAAGAUAUUUGAGUUGCCGUGCUUCAUAUCCAUUCCGUGUCUGCUGGAAGACCUGUGUGAUUGUUAUAUGAUACAGGCAAGGCCUUUGCUUUGGAUAAUGCGUGCAAACUAUUUGAUGAAAAAACCAUGGGGAUGUUGAAUUUCAGACUCUGAUCUCAUCUAGCUAGCUUCUCAGUAUUCUACUGUAAUGAUUUUUAUAUGACUGUAUAAACUUUUGGAGGCUUUCAUAUAUAUGGAAUGCAUAGGUUCUUCCCUCA